Callithrix jacchus (white-tufted-ear marmoset) is the source of this 494-nucleotide long non-coding RNA. RefSeq lists it as uncharacterized. The record is from RefSeq and is a predicted model, not a curated record. Lineage: Eukaryota; Metazoa; Chordata; Mammalia; Primates; Cebidae.
UCAUCCUCACAUCCCUUGACAUUAGAAUUGAAAGCAUAGGGGUGUUUCACCUCUUGCAAUGUUUAAUUCAAUAUAAUUGUUUUCUUGUUUACAUUAGUGACCAUAUCAGAGCAUGGUAUACACCUCUUGCCGUAUUCAGAGUAUUUCCCUAUGGGCAGCAACAUUUUCCUCUCCUCCUCUGGAUAUUAGGAACAAUAUCCCAGGACCGGGAUACAGCCCCAGUCACAUCUGACCAUAUCAGAGCAUGGUGUACACCUCUUGCCGUAUUCAGAGUAUUUCCCUAUGGGCAGCAACAUUUUCCUCUUCUUCUCUGGAUAUUAGGAACAAUAUCCCAGGACCAGCGUACAGCCCCAGUCACAUCUGACCCUAUCAGAGCAUGGUGUACACUUCCUGCCAUAUUCGGAGUACUUCCAUAUAAGCAGCAACAGUUUCCUCUCCUCCUCUGGAUAUUAGAAACAAUAUCCAAGGACCAGCAUACAACCCCAGUCACAUCG